CCGGCCACAGCUCAAUUUGAAAUCUGGCCCUCCCCGGGGUCCCGAGUUGUAAUUUGYANAGAGUGUUUCGGGUGAAGGCCGCGGUCUAAGUCCAUUGGAACAUGGUGUCAGAGAGGGUGAGAAUCCCCGUACGUGACCGUGGUCCGAGCCCAUGUGAAGCCUCUUCGACGAGUCGAGUUGUUUGGGAAUGCAGCUCAAAAUGGGUGGUAAAUUUCAUCUAAAGCUAAAUACUGGCUGGAGACCGAUAGCGCACAAGUAGAGUGAUCGAAAGAUGAAAAGCACUUUGGAAAGAGAGUCAAACAGUACGUGAAAUUGUUGAAAGGGAAGCGCUGGCAACCAGACCUGCCCGUGGGCGAUCAGCCGCCGUUCUCGGCGGUGCACUCGCUCCGCGAUCAGGCCAGCAUCGGUUCCGGCGGUCGGAUAAAGGCCUUGGGAAUGUAGCUCCCCUCGGGGAGUCUUAUAGCCCUUGGUGCAAUGCGGCCAGCUGGGACCGAGGACCGCGCUCCGGCUAGGAUGCUGGCGUAAUGGUUGUCAGCGACCCGUCUUGAAACACGGACCAAGGAGUCUAACAUCUAUGCGAGUGUUUGGGUGUCAAACCCAUGCGCGGAAUGAAAGUGAACGGAGGUGAGAACCCUGAAGGGCGCAUCAUCGACCGAUCCAGAUGUCUUCGGAUGGAUUUGAGUAUGAGCAUAGCUGUUGGGACCCGAAAGAUGGUGAACUAUGCCUGAAUAGGGUGAAGCCAGAGGAAACUCUGGUGGAGGCUCGCAGCGGUUCUGACGUGCAAAUCGAUCGUCAAAUUUGGGUAUAGGGGCGAAAGACUAAUC
Molecule: ribosomal RNA, 824 nt
Filed under: Platismatia tuckermanii
Lineage: Eukaryota; Fungi; Ascomycota; Lecanoromycetes; Lecanorales; Parmeliaceae
Description: eukaryotic LSU rRNA
Rfam family: Eukaryotic large subunit ribosomal RNA
Source: RNAcentral